AGAGUUUGAUCCUGGCUCAGAUUGAACGCUGGCGGCAGGCCUAACACAUGCAAGUCGAGCGGAUGAGUGGAGCUUGCUCCAUGAUUCAGCGGCGGACGGGUGAGUAAUGCCUAGGAAUCUGCCCGGUAGUGGGGGAUAACGUCCGGAAACGGGCGCUAAUACCGCAUACGUCCUACGGGAGAAAGCAGGGGACCUUCGGGCCUUGCGCUAUCGGAUGAGCCUAGGUCGGAUUAGCUAGUUGGUGAGGUAAUGGCUCACCAAGGCGACGAUCCGUAACUGGUCUGAGAGGAUGAUCAGUCACACUGGGACUGAGACACGGCCCGGACUCCUACGGGAGGCAGCAGUGGGGAAUUUUGGACAAUGGGCGAAAGCCUGAUCCAGCCAUUCCGCGUGAGUGAAGAAGGCCUUCGGGUUGUAAAGCUCUUUCGGCAGGAACGAAACGGCGGAUAUUAAUACUAUCCGUUACUGACGGUACCUGAAGAAGAAGCACCGGCUAACUACGUGCCAGCAGCCGCGGUAAUAC
This 523-nucleotide ribosomal RNA is filed under the name uncultured Pseudomonas sp. RNAcentral's name for it is "bacterial SSU rRNA". It matches the Rfam family "Bacterial small subunit ribosomal RNA", at positions 8 to 526 of the family's 1533-position model. The record is from RNAcentral. Lineage: Bacteria; Pseudomonadati; Pseudomonadota; Gammaproteobacteria; Pseudomonadales; Pseudomonadaceae.